AGGCAUUAACAAGUAGGUUGACUGUCGGGACAAGCCCAGGGAUGGCAUUGUUUCUAUUUGCUGAUAAAUGACUCUGGGGCUGUGAAGACUCAGACCCAAGGAGUGACUCAGAAAGUCAGGGGCCCAUGUCAUUCUGCUCUGGGUUCAGACGUGCACUGCAGCAGCACCGGGACUUGACAGCCCUACGGCUCGAUCAGCUUUCUGUUUUCAUUGCCUUACGAUGCCAUGAGUGGAACUAUUGUCAAAUCAGAGUUCACUCCCCAGCUUUUCAGUCUUUCCCCUAAUUCUUGCUCUAUCAGAGGUCGAGGACAACAGUAUAAUGAUUCAUAGGUUCUACUUCCUGGCAAGUAAUCAUUUUCCCACGGGCCCUUGUGAAUUGAUGAAUAUGAAGACACUAAGAAAGCAGAAAUAGAACUGAGAAGAAUGAAAUAACUGUCUCUACCUUUCUCGAAUUGUCUAAUAUGGAAAGAAUGAAAGACAGCUAAUAAGCAACUCUCUGCAAGAAGACAUAUGGCUUAGGUUCUGCUGAGCUAUUGGUGAUUUGAUUCCAUGCAUAUGUAUUCACUACUGGUAUAAGUAUAUACAAUAUAUGUGUUUCUGCAAAGAA
Long non-coding RNA from Homo sapiens (human), 607 nucleotides. Ensembl annotates it as long intergenic non-protein coding RNA 2541. NCBI's taxonomy places the organism in Eukaryota, Metazoa, Chordata, Mammalia, Primates, Hominidae. The record is from Ensembl.